GCGUGGGAACCUGCCCUCGAGUGGGGGAUAACCCGGCGAAAGCCGGGGUAAUACCGCAUACGUCCCGUAGCAAUACGGGAGAAAGAUUUAUCGCUCGAGGAGGGGCCCGCGUCGGAUUAGCUAGUUGGUGAGGUAACGGCUCACCAAGGCGAUGAUCCGUAGCUGGUCUGAGAGGAUGAUCAGCCACACUGGGACUGAGACACGGCCCAGACUCCUACGGGAGGCAGCAGUGGGGAAUAUUGGACAAUGGGCGCAAGCCUGAUCCAGCAAUGCCGCGUGAGUGAUGAAGGCCUUAGGGUU
RNAcentral lists this ribosomal RNA (300 nucleotides) under uncultured Rhodospirillaceae bacterium. RNAcentral describes it as "bacterial SSU rRNA". It matches the Rfam family "Bacterial small subunit ribosomal RNA", at positions 115 to 424 of the family's 1533-position model. The record is from RNAcentral. Lineage: Bacteria; Pseudomonadati; Pseudomonadota; Alphaproteobacteria; Rhodospirillales; Rhodospirillaceae.